Fukomys damarensis (Damara mole-rat) is the source of this 737-nucleotide long non-coding RNA. RefSeq lists it as uncharacterized. The record is from RefSeq and is a predicted model, not a curated record. The transcript is spliced from 3 exons. Lineage: Eukaryota; Metazoa; Chordata; Mammalia; Rodentia; Bathyergidae.
CUCAACUACGUAGUGAGACCCUGUCUCAAAAAACCAAAAAAAAAAAGAAAAAAAGAAAAAGAAACCCGAAGUACAGAGCGUCCCUGGAAGGCAGGGGUCUCAGAAACCGCAGGCCACUUUCUGGUGGGAAAAUCGGGAAGAGCACCCUGACUGUUCCUGUUUGUCCCGCCAGAGGCAGGCAUGGGCAGGACGCAGUGGCUUCCUCAAAUCUAGAGCUCGCCGUGAGUGCCGCUGCGCGUUCUGCUGCUGUCUCAUCAUCUGGACCCUCGAAGUCGCCGGUUCAACACCGCUUUCUAGGUUCGGCUCGGAGCGGGGCUGGACGUGUGGGGCCCCCUCCCGCCGGCCCUGUGGGGUUGAAGAGAUCGCUCGGCCGGGCUUGCUGGGAACCAGCAGCCUCGGAGGCCAGCAGGUGGACGGGGCUGCCGGGCCAAGGCCUUGGACGAGAGGCUGACAGAGAGGACGUCACAUUAAAACCACCGGUGCUGUGGACGCCACGGCCUGCGUCAGAGCCCCGCUGUCCGCACGCUGUCUGCUCCCGGGGUGAGCAGAAGAUGCUGGGAGCUUCGGGUUGGGCUAAACCCUCCCUCCAGCAGGAGCUUUAGGGUUCAUGUGGAGCUGAGGUGGCGGCCCCCGCCUGGUCCACUUCACAGUGAGACCGGAGCCGACGCAGGGCUGCAGGAGGCCCGGGCACCGGGAAGCUUGGGCCUCGCUGGACAGAGCGUGGUAAUAAAGUGACU